AGUGAACGCUGGCGGUAGGCCUAACACAUGCAAGUCGAACGGCAGCACAGUAAGAGCUUGCUCUUACGGGUGGCGAGUGGCGGACGGGUGAGGAAUACAUCGGAAUCUACUUUUUCGUGGGGGAUAACGUAGGGAAACUUACGCUAAUACCGCAUACGACCUACGGGUGAAAGCAGGGGAUCUUCGGACCUUGCGCGAUUGAAUGAGCCGAUGCCGGAUUAGCUAGUUGGCGGGGUAAAGGCCCACCAAGGCGACGAUCCGUAGCUGAUCUGAGAGGAUGAUCAGCCACACUGGAACUGAGACACGGUCCAGACUCCUACGGGAGGCAGCAGUGGGGAAUAUUGGACAAUGGGCGCAAGCCUGAUCCAGCCAUGCCGCGUGGGUGAAGAAGGCCUUCGGGUUGUAAAGCCCUUUUGUUGGGGAAGAAAAGCAGCAGGUUAAUACCCCGCUGUUCUGACGGUACCCAAAGAAUAAGCACCGGCUAACUUCGUG
RNAcentral lists this ribosomal RNA (492 nucleotides) under uncultured bacterium. RNAcentral's name for it is "partial 16S ribosomal RNA". It matches the Rfam family "Bacterial small subunit ribosomal RNA", at positions 29 to 507 of the family's 1533-position model. The record is from RNAcentral.